RNAcentral lists this long non-coding RNA (765 nucleotides) under Mytilus galloprovincialis (Mediterranean mussel). The record is from RNAcentral. Lineage: Eukaryota; Metazoa; Mollusca; Bivalvia; Mytilida; Mytilidae.
GGUUUACGGCGUUGUCACAGCCAAAUACUAUUUAUAACAGUCUUUCUAAAAGUUGUGGCAGUUGUAUAAUGUUUGUCCCAACCUUUUUAUAGUUGGGACAGUUGAAAUUUGUUUGUGUCAACUUUUCAGACGUUUAAGCAGUCAAAAAAUGUUUGUUACAAUGUUUUUAGAGUUGUAACAGUCGUAAAAUGUUUGUUACAACUUUUUAAAGGUUGUUACAGUCAUUAAAUGUUCAUUACAACUUUUAAAAGGUUGCCACAGUCGUAAAAUGUUUAAAACAAACAUUUCAUGGGUUGUUACAGUCGGUAAAUAUGUAAUACAAAUAUUUUAGUGUGACGGUUGCGAAUGUUAAAACAAUGUGUACACGUCUAAGGUGCACCUUCUCAAAGUUUGAUACAGGAUAAAUGGAUAAAUGUAUUUUAUUUAAGUGUCACGUAUUGGUGAUACAGUUGUGAAAUUACCCAUAAUUUAUAUGAUCCCUCAUCUUAUGUUGUUGUUGGGUUUUUUUUAAAUUUUUUUGCGAUCGUUCUAUGUCUUUUGUCGUAUUCCGUUUAUGGCAUUAUAAUUAUGUCUGUUCAUUUGUGGCGGACUUGUGCGUUUGACGGUUUAUCUUUAUUUUUUAUUCAGUCUAUUCAAGAGUCUUUUAUAACUUGUUUUAUACCAAAAGCCUUCGUUUAAAAAUAGAAUUAAAAUAUUAUUGCAGAAGAUUGAUUUAAUUGUCUUAAUUUCAAAUUGCUACGUCGGGGUACCUGAAGUAAAUUUAAA